AUGAAAUGUCUUCCUGUCCAUGGACAAACACUUGUUAAUUCCAGAAACCCGGAUGCAGUCUUUCACAUGUCCCGCAGUCCCUCCACUCCCAGAGACCCUUUCUGCAGCCCUGCAGAAUGUACUCUCACCAUUCCAUCGCUCAUUAGUGCCGCCACAGACUCAUUUGCCUUGGGAAUGAAAACAAAUCGAUGCCCCCUUUAUGCACUGAAUUUGCGUAAGCAUCCGUGGCGGAUGAUACAUAUCUGUAGUGAACAUGAAGGUAAAUGUUUCGAAGAUGCUAUUGGAAUUCAUCUGACUCUAUUUCUCACAGAACAAGCACACAGGGAAAGGCAAGAAAAGAUGAGCAAGAAAUCAAACCAUGCGAUGAUUUCCAGCCUUGGGGUUGUCAGUGAAAGAGAUGGCAUCACAUCUGUACCAAGGCAUUUGGAAGCAAUACAGUGGCCCCAGAAGCUAAGUGUUGAGAUGGCAGAGCUAUAA
This 477-nucleotide long non-coding RNA is filed under the name Oryctolagus cuniculus (rabbit). RNAcentral's name for it is "lncRNA (ENSOCUG00000037387.1)". The record is from RNAcentral. Lineage: Eukaryota; Metazoa; Chordata; Mammalia; Lagomorpha; Leporidae.